Molecule: non-coding RNA, 52 nt
Organism: Callithrix jacchus (white-tufted-ear marmoset)
Lineage: Eukaryota; Metazoa; Chordata; Mammalia; Primates; Cebidae
Source: Rfam
UCAGAGGCUUUUGUUUUUUAUAAAGCCACCCAUUUUUACAUGGAGAAAAUAU